AGUGAACGCUGGCGGUAGGCCUAACACAUGCAAGUCGAACGGCAGCACAGUAAGAGCUUGCUCUUACGGGUGGCGAGUGGCGGACGGGUGAGGAAUACAUCGGAAUCUACUUUUUCGUGGGGGAUAACGUAGGGAAACUUACGCUAAUACCGCAUACGACCUACGGGUGAAAGCAGGGGAUCUUCGGACCUUGCGCGUUUGAAUGGGCCGGCGGCGGAUUAGCUAGUUGGCGGGGUAUAGGCCCACCAAGGCGACGAUGCGUAGCUGGUCUGAGAGGGUGGCCGGCCACAUGGGGCAUGAGAUACGGCCCAGACUCCUACGGGAGGCAGCAGUGGGGAAUAUUGCACAAUGGGCGGAAGCCUGAUGCAGCAACGCCGCGUGCGGGAUGACGGCCUUCGGGUUGUAAACCGCUUUCGCCUGUGACGAAGCGUGAGUGACGGUAAUGGGUAAAGAAGCACCGGCUAACUACGUG
RNAcentral lists this ribosomal RNA (472 nucleotides) under uncultured bacterium. RNAcentral's name for it is "partial 16S ribosomal RNA". It matches the Rfam family "Bacterial small subunit ribosomal RNA", at positions 30 to 507 of the family's 1533-position model. The record is from RNAcentral.